This 526-nucleotide ribosomal RNA is filed under the name uncultured Actinomycetes bacterium. RNAcentral describes it as "bacterial SSU rRNA". It matches the Rfam family "Bacterial small subunit ribosomal RNA", at positions 8 to 522 of the family's 1533-position model. Lineage: Bacteria; Bacillati; Actinomycetota; Actinomycetes. The record is from RNAcentral.
AGAGUUUGAUCAUGGCUCAGGACGAACGCUGGCGGCGCGCUUAACACAUGCAAGUCGAGCGAGAACCCAGGCUUCGGCCUGGGGGACAGCGGCGAACGGGUGAGUAUCACGUGGGUAAUCUGCCCUCGGCAUCGGGAUAGCCCGGGGAAACCCGGAUUAAUACCGAAUGGCCCAGCAGCUCUUCGGAGCGGCUGGAAAAGGUAGCUUCGGCCUCCGGCCGAGGAGGAGCCCGCGGCGGAUUAGCUUGUAGGUGAGGUAACGGCUCACCAAGGCUCCGAUCCGUAGCUGGUCUGAGAGGACGAUCAGCCACACUGGGACUGAGACACGGCCCAGACUCCUACGGGAGGCAGCAGUGGGGAAUCUUGCGCAAUGGGCGAAAGCCUGACGCAGCGACGCCGCGUGAGGGAAGAAGGCCUUCGGGUUGUAAACCUCUUUCAGGAGGGACGAAGCCACUCGGGUUAAUAGCCCAGAGGGUGACGGUACCUCCAGAAGAAGCCCGGCUAACUACGUGCCAGCAGCCGCGGUA